CUGUUUUCGGUUUCAUUUCGAAAGGACUUGUCAUGACUUGACUCAUCAGCCAUAUCUUCAUGUUUUGGGUUUCCAUUUCCUGUUUUAUUUUGGUAGUCUCCCGGUUUCUGUUUCUGUUCUAGCUUCACUUCCGGUUUACGUCACGUCACAGCUGUUCCGGCUUCACCCGGUCAUUUUACACACCUGCACUUCAUCAGUAAUCAUUCACCUUGCAUUUAAGCACCACUUCUCACACCAGCACGUCGCCAGAUCGUUGAUUCAUUGUUCCAGCAAUUCUCCAGUUCAUCGUAUCCUGUUGUCGACACAGUAACGGUUUUUCUGACCAUUGCUUCUCGCCUGAUCCUGACCAGUUUUACUAAUUUCACCUGGUGUCUCCUCCUACUGAGGCCUCUGACGUCUCCUCCUACAUGACGACCCACCAACCCUCUGCUUUGAUUCUCUGCCAGCUGUUUCUGGAUUCUGGGCCUCGUGGUCUGUGUCUGACUGACGGAUGCAGAACCUCCUGUGGUGUUUGUGGACCUGUGGUUUCUAUUGGUGACUGGUACAAGAAACUAAUAAUACCAACACUCUCUCAGUUCUUCUUUAUUAGCAAGUGCUCAUAUUUAAUUUCUACAUCUUGUCAGGCGGCUUAAUAUGGCGGACCCACAUGCAUGGCACUUGAGACAGGUAGAUACGAUUACAGGCUUUAAUCACAAGUCCAGAAAUGCAGGUACGGUAGUCAGAUACACAGGUGAUCAGAUGGGGCGACGGUACAGACAGGGUUCGGUUCAAGAUUCGGCAACAGGUUUGUUUUAGGACAAACGCUGGAAAGUGGUGAUAACACGUGACAAUCUGAAAGGAAUGAGGUGAGUAUUGGAGACUAAAUACAGGUACAAGACAGCUUGUCAAUUUAUUGCAGCUGCAUGAGUCAUGUGACUGUAUGUGAAACUCAGGCUAGACCUGACCAACACAUGAGUCCAGACUGUGACACAUCUUGUGACUGAGAGCACUUCCUGAUCUACAUCCUUGUUAAUUGUUCACUGAGUUCUUGGUUUUACUAAAACUUCUAGCCAACGUGUCAAACAAACCUUCCUCAUCAGCUCUUCUUCCUCCUCAUUCUUCUCUCAAUGUCAGAAUCUUGUUUGUCUAAAUUAUUACAAAAUGAACUUCACACAUUUAAAUUUACAAACCAGCAAACAAGAAGGAAGUAAGAUCUGUUUGAGAUGCGCAAAAAAUACGACUUCAUUAUUAGACACAGUUACUUCUGUAUUAAUCGUCAGCUACAUGUUUAUUUGGCUGCCGAUUGUUUUACACCUUCUUAGUUUAGGCAAAAAAUCAUCUUGUAGUGGUUUUACUCCAAAGAUAAUUAACCUCAGAAUUUAUUUUUCUACAAAUCAUGAAAUCAUUGAAUGACGUUGUCUCAUCUCUCCUUUAUCUGUCGUGUGAUCAUGAGCCUUUUAACUUUUCCUCCAUAAAAACCUUCAGUCAAUGACUUGAUUUUGAGGCUAAUCUCAUUUUAAUCUGAUGGUUUUGUCUCUAACGGUUCCUCUUAUUUUUCCACCUCAUUAGUUUCUUUACCUUCUUUGUAGGUUUGUACUCGGCUCAUCGCUCUCAGUCUUCAGGAUCCAGACUCCAGUUUUAAUGGAUGGAAGCUUUGUGUGUAAAUCAUAGUAUUUGUUGUCACAGCAGUCAGUCAUCAAUCAUCUGUUAGUGUGACGUGUUGUUAGACUCACCUUCAGUCUCUGCUGCUGCUGCGUUUCAACACUGAAGCAUCAACACUCGUAAGUGAAGUGAACUGCGUCACCAUCAGUUUGAGUGAGUUCAUAGAACAACCCUUCCUGUCAGACUCACACAGGAAACAGCUGCUUUUAAAGCUUUAAUAUUAAAACACAGGUUUAAACUGUGCAUUUGUAACAAACAUUUAACAGCAAGGUCACAGAUAUUUAUCAUUAAGUCUUUUUAUUUAUGUUCAAACUCAACAGUUUUAAAUGUACAGAUGUGGAAACGCUUCAACACUUUGGCCGAUGAAGGUUUUACAGGACGUGUAUAGAUGAUUAUUAGUAGAAUUAAAAAAAGUAGUAGAUUUAAAGCAGAUCAUUGAGUCACUAAGUAAAUUUGUUUAAUUUUAAAGAUGCUUGGAGAUAAAAAUCCUAUUCUAUUUCUACUUCAUCUACAGUAACGUUGUAGUAAAUCUGCAUCCGUGCCACCAGGGGGCAGUCUGGUUUGGUUUUGUUUAGUGUCCACUUGUUUUGUUGUCAUUUCCUGUAGUUAAUUUGAUUGAGUUCACCUGUUUUAGUUAUUAUUUAAGUUCUAGUUUUUUGUACAGAUCUUGUUUGUUCGUUGGUGAUGCUAUGUUCAUUUGAGCCAGUUAUUUGCUGGGUGUCCUGUCUGGUGUCGAGGAUGGUUUGGUCCAUGUGUGUUUUGUGUUUGUUACCUGUAGCAAGAUUAUUUAUUGUUUAGGCUUCCUGCUCUGCAGUAGUGAUGGCCAAACGAAGCUUGUAACAAAAACAGGCAUCAUUACUCGAAGUUUUUCAACAGUGUCUUUAGUGACCUCUAGUGGUUAAAACAUGAAUUGCAGCUUGAAGUUACUGUAAUGAACCGCUCCUUUAUGGUUUCAAACUCAAGUUGAGGCCUUCUUAUUAAUACCAUUUGACCGUUUUAGUUUGAUAGAAUUGUGAUGCUUUGAGAAAAAUACACUUUUGUGAUUAAUUAAAUAAACGUUACUGUGUUAACGUCC
This is a long non-coding RNA of Betta splendens (Siamese fighting fish), 2716 nucleotides long. RefSeq lists it as uncharacterized. The transcript has 2 exons. The record is from RefSeq and is a predicted model, not a curated record. NCBI's taxonomy places the organism in Eukaryota, Metazoa, Chordata, Actinopteri, Anabantiformes, Osphronemidae.